GAAAUGUCCGGCAUGGAGAGACUGCAGAGAAUGUUUGCGGGUGCAGGAGGAGCUUUAGGUCACCCACCCCCAGAUUCUCCAACUCUUGAUUCAUCGGAGCAGGUCUACAUCUCCUCUCUUGCCCUCCUCAAAAUGCUUAAACACGGAAGAGCUGGGGUCCCCAUGGAAGUGAUGGGCUUGAUGCUGGGAGAAUUUGUGGAUGAAUACACUGUACGUGUUGUUGACGUCUUUGCAAUGCCUCAAAGUGGUACUGG
This 254-nucleotide unclassified non-coding RNA is filed under the name Hevea brasiliensis (rubber tree). The record is from RNAcentral. Lineage: Eukaryota; Viridiplantae; Streptophyta; Magnoliopsida; Malpighiales; Euphorbiaceae.